GUAAUGCCGGAUGCUCCGACUCCUCGCAUGGGGUGUCGGGAAAGAUUUCAUCGGUAUGGGAUGGGGUCGCGUCCUAUCAGGUAGUCGGCGGGGUAACGGCCCACCGAGCCUACGACGGGUAGCCGGCCUGAGAGGGCGACCGGCCACAUUGGGACUGAGAUACGGCCCAGACUCCUACGGGAGGCAGCAGUGGGGAAUAUUGCACAAUGGGCGCAAGCCUGAUGCAGCGACGCCGCGUGCGGGAUGACGGCCUUCGGGUUGUAAACCGCUUUUGAUCGGGAGCAAGCCUUCGGGUGAGUGUACCUUUCGAAUAAGCACCGGCUAACUACGUGCCAGCAGCCGCGGUAAUACGUAGGGUGCAAGCGUUAUCCGGAAUUAUUGGGCGUAAAGGGCUCGUAGGCGGUUCGUCGCGUCCGGUGUGAAAGUCCAUCGCUUAACGGUGGAUCUGCGCCGGGUACGGGCGGGCUGGAGUGCGGUAGGGGAGACUGGAAUUCCCGGUGUAACGGUGGAAUGUGUAGAUAUCGGAAAA
Molecule: ribosomal RNA, 529 nt
Filed under: Bifidobacterium pseudocatenulatum
Lineage: Bacteria; Bacillati; Actinomycetota; Actinomycetes; Bifidobacteriales; Bifidobacteriaceae
Description: bacterial SSU rRNA
Rfam family: Bacterial small subunit ribosomal RNA
Source: RNAcentral